UGAGGAAUAUUGGACAAUGGGCGCAAGCCUGAUCCAGCCAUGCCGCGUGCAGGAAGACGGUCCUAUGGAUUGAAACCUGCUUUUAUACAGGAAGAAACACCUCUACGUGUAGAGACUUGACGGUACUGUAUGAAUAAGCAACGGCUCGCUCCGCGCCAGCAGCCGCGGUAAUACGGAGGAUGCAAGCGUAAUCCUGAAUCAUUGGGUUUAAAGGGUCCGUAGGCGGCCAACUAAGUCAAUGGUGAAAGC
RNAcentral lists this ribosomal RNA (249 nucleotides) under uncultured Flavobacterium sp. Its description in RNAcentral is "partial 16S ribosomal RNA". It matches the Rfam family "Bacterial small subunit ribosomal RNA", at positions 355 to 601 of the family's 1533-position model. The record is from RNAcentral. Lineage: Bacteria; Pseudomonadati; Bacteroidota; Flavobacteriia; Flavobacteriales; Flavobacteriaceae.